RNAcentral lists this ribosomal RNA (2775 nucleotides) under Salmonella enterica subsp. enterica serovar Virchow. Its description in RNAcentral is "bacterial LSU rRNA". It matches the Rfam family "Bacterial large subunit ribosomal RNA". RNAcentral also lists the same sequence under 1 other name. The record is from RNAcentral. Lineage: Bacteria; Pseudomonadati; Pseudomonadota; Gammaproteobacteria; Enterobacterales; Enterobacteriaceae.
AGCGUACACGGUGGAUGCCCUGGCAGUCAGAGGCGAUGAAGGGCGUGCUAAUCUGCGAUAAGCGCCGGUAAGGUGAUAUGAACCGUUAUAACCGGCGAUACCCGAAUGGGGAAACCCAGUGUGAUUCGUCACACUAUCAUUAACUGAAUCCAUAGGUUAAUGAGGCGAACCGGGGGAACUGAAACAUCUAAGUACCCCGAGGAAAAGAAAUCAACCGAGAUUCCCCCAGUAGCGGCGAGCGAACGGGGAGGAGCCCAGAGCCUGAAUCAGCAUGUGUGUUAGUGGAAGCGUCUGGAAAGGCGCGCGAUACAGGGUGACAGCCCCGUACACAAAAGCGCAUGUGCUGUGAGCUCGAUGAGUAGGGCGGGACACGUGGUAUCCUGUCUGAAUAUGGGGGGACCAUCCUCCAAGGCUAAAUACUCCUGACUGACCGAUAGUGAACCAGUACCGUGAGGGAAAGGCGAAAAGAACCCCGGCGAGGGGAGUGAAAAAGAACCUGAAACCGUGUACGUACAAGCAGUGGGAGCACCCUUUGGGGUGUGACUGCGUACCUUUUGUAUAAUGGGUCAGCGACUUAUAUUCUGUAGCAAGGUUAACCGUAUAGGGGAGCCGUAGGGAAACCGAGUCUUAACCGGGCGUUAAGUUGCAGGGUAUAGACCCGAAACCCGGUGAUCUAGCCAUGGGCAGGUUGAAGGUUGGGUAACACUAACUGGAGGACCGAACCGACUAAUGUUGAAAAAUUAGCGGAUGACCUGUGGCUGGGGGUGAAAGGCCAAUCAAACCGGGAGAUAGCUGGUUCUCCCCGAAAGCUAUUUAGGUAGCGCCUCGUGAAUUCAUCUCCGGGGGUAGAGCACUGUUUCGGCUAGGGGGCCAUCCCGGCUUACCAACCCGAUGCAAACUGCGAAUACCGGAGAAUGUUAUCACGGGAGACACACGGCGGGUGCUAACGUCCGUCGUGAAGAGGGAAACAACCCAGACCGCCAGCUAAGGUCCCAAAGUCAUGGUUAAGUGGGAAACGAUGUGGGAAGGCCCAGACAGCCAGGAUGUUGGCUUAGAAGCAGCCAUCAUUUAAAGAAAGCGUAAUAGCUCACUGGUCGAGUCGGCCUGCGCGGAAGAUGUAACGGGGCUAAACCAUGCACCGAAGCUGCGGCAGCGACGCUGAUGCGUUGUUGGGUAGGGGAGCGUUCUGUAAGCCUGUGAAGGUGGCCUGUGAGGGUUGCUGGAGGUAUCAGAAGUGCGAAUGCUGACAUAAGUAACGAUAAAGCGGGUGAAAAGCCCGCUCGCCGGAAGACCAAGGGUUCCUGUCCAACGUUAAUCGGGGCAGGGUGAGUCGACCCCUAAGGCGAGGCCGAAAGGCGUAGUCGAUGGGAAACGGGUUAAUAUUCCCGUACUUGGUGUUACUGCGAAGGGGGGACGGAGAAGGCUAUGUUGGCCGGGCGACGGUUGUCCCGGUUUAAGCGUGUAGGUGUGUGUUCCAGGUAAAUCCGGUUCACUUUAACACUGAGGCGUGACGACGAGGCACUACGGUGCUGAAGCAACAAAUGCCCUGCUUCCAGGAAAAGCCUCUAAGCAUCAGGUAACAUCAAAUCGUACCCCAAACCGACACAGGUGGUCAGGUAGAGAAUACCAAGGCGCUUGAGAGAACUCGGGUGAAGGAACUAGGCAAAAUGGUGCCGUAACUUCGGGAGAAGGCACGCUGACACGUAGGUGAAGUGAUUUACUCAUGGAGCUGAAGUCAGUCGAAGAUACCAGCUGGCUGCAACUGUUUAUUAAAAACACAGCACUGUGCAAACACGAAAGUGGACGUAUACGGUGUGACGCCUGCCCGGUGCCGGAAGGUUAAUUGAUGGGGUCAGCGCAAGCGAAGCUCCUGAUCGAAGCCCCGGUAAACGGCGGCCGUAACUAUAACGGUCCUAAGGUAGCGAAAUUCCUUGUCGGGUAAGUUCCGACCUGCACGAAUGGCGUAAUGAUGGCCAGGCUGUCUCCACCCGAGACUCAGUGAAAUUGAACUCGCUGUGAAGAUGCAGUGUACCCGCGGCAAGACGGAAAGACCCCGUGAACCUUUACUAUAGCUUGACACUGAACAUUGAGCCUUGAUGUGUAGGAUAGGUGGGAGGCUUUGAAGUGUGGACGCCAGUCUGCAUGGAGCCGACCUUGAAAUACCACCCUUUAAUGUUUGAUGUUCUAACGUGGACCCGUUACCCGGGUUGCGGACAGUGUCUGGUGGGUAGUUUGACUGGGGCGGUCUCCUCCUAAAGAGUAACGGAGGAGCACGAAGGUUGGCUAAUCCUGGUCGGACAUCAGGAGGUUAGUGCAAUGGCAUAAGCCAGCUUGACUGCGAGCGUGACGGCGCGAGCAGGUGCGAAAGCAGGUCAUAGUGAUCCGGUGGUUCUGAAUGGAAGGGCCAUCGCUCAACGGAUAAAAGGUACUCCGGGGAUAACAGGCUGAUACCGCCCAAGAGUUCAUAUCGACGGCGGUGUUUGGCACCUCGAUGUCGGCUCAUCACAUCCUGGGGCUGAAGUAGGUCCCAAGGGUAUGGCUGUUCGCCAUUUAAAGUGGUACGCGAGCUGGGUUUAGAACGUCGUGAGACAGUUCGGUCCCUAUCUGCCGUGGGCGCUGGAGAACUGAGGGGGGCUGCUCCUAGUACGAGAGGACCGGAGUGGACGCAUCACUGGUGUUCGGGUUGUCAUGCCAAUGGCACUGCCCGGUAGCUAAAUGCGGAAGAGAUAAGUGCUGAAAGCAUCUAAGCACGAAACUUGCCCCGAGAUGAGUUCU